GCUCAGCACACUGAGCUCUCUGCUGUCUCAGGAUUUCCCAGAGGCUGUUCCCUCUGCUUGGCUUUUCCUCACAGCGUUAGUCCAGUUAGCACUCUGUUUUCAUGAGUUUUCAUGUUAGCGGGGGAAAACAUAAGUAAAUAAACUUCAGACCUCUGGGAGGGGAGAGAGGCUGGAAAUUAAGUUCAAUCACCAAUGGCCAAUGAUUUAAUCAAUCAUGCCUGUGUAAUGAAGCCUUCAUAAAAACCAAAACAGCCAGGGUUUGGAGAGUUUCUGGGUUGGUGAACACAUGGUGAUACCAGGAGAGUGGUGUGCUCAGAAAGCAUAGAGGCUCUGCGCUGUUUCCCCAUACCUUGCCCUGUGCAUCGCUUCCAUUGGGCUGUUCCUGUGUUAUAUCCUUUUAUAUUAAACCCAUAAUCUAGGUGGUUCAAAUCACAGUGUUGGUGAUGUCACUCCUGCCACCUCUCCUGAGAUUGGCGUGGUUCUGCUGUCAAAAACUUGGAAAAUACUGAAUCAUCUCCCCGAGGAAAAUUGGUGCUUCUCAGCUUCAGACUUGAGUUUCCAGCGAGAAUAAGACAGAGGCGCAUCCUACUGGGAAGCAGUGGGGCUGGGACAAGUCAAAGGCCUCCCUCAAUCCACUCACAGUUCUUCAUCUCUUCAGGGUGAUUUGCCUGUCACCAUCCACAUGGUGCCUGAGGCAAAGGGUUAGUGCUGCUGCUGGUGACAUACCCUAGAGCAGCGGCAGCAGCAAUUACCUGGGAGUCACAUUAUAUUUGCAGUUUGUUCGGAGGGAUGGAUGGAAGAGACUGCAGGUCAACAUCAAGUUUUUUGGUCAGACUUAGCAAAUACAGGAAUAAAAAUAUGACCGCAACGGUCAUUUACAUAUAAGCUACUUUAACCUUAUGUCUCUGCACCCUUGAAUGCGUCCUUCUGUUUCUGUUUCUGAAGUUCUUACACUAUAGAACUACUUCAUGGGACUAUAUUUGACACGAGACUUACUUUCCUGUAGGUGAACAGACUUUGCUCAAGCACUAUCAGAGAUAGGGAGAGAGAAGGAAGCAACGAUAAAGGGAAUACAGUAAAGUGAUUUAAGGAUAAUUUUUAAAAAUGAACUCAAAUGAUGAAAGUAGAAAUGAGGAGAAGAGAAAAACGGAAAAGUGUA
This 1159-nucleotide long non-coding RNA is filed under the name Equus caballus (horse). RNAcentral's name for it is "lncRNA (ENSECAG00000028894.2)". The record is from RNAcentral. Lineage: Eukaryota; Metazoa; Chordata; Mammalia; Perissodactyla; Equidae.